CUCCACUCCUGAUCCACAAUGUGAUCCACCGGCAAGGAGGGAUGCCAAUAAGGCGUCUGAUAAGAUAAGUCUUAUAAAAUAUAUAGGUUUAUGAUAAUUAAAACUGAGCUAACAGAUGAGAAUCCUAGUCAUUGGCCAAGCUGCAUUGAACCUAAUACAAGUUUCUGUGUAUUCAUUUGGGCCAAACUCAGGCAGGUGGCUGGCAUAAAACGCACAUGUGACAGUGGGACUCCGGUGGCUUUUGGUGGAAAGAUUUAUCUUAACAAUGCUUUAUGGGCAUGAUGCAAGAUGCUCCCCUCCAGUCCGGGCUCCAAAGGAGCACCAACCAGAAUGACUUACUUUCUCAUUCUUAAACUCUUCAUUUGGAAUAAAUAACAGUGUUAACCAUGUGGAUGCUUGACUGUGGUUUAAGACCAUGAGUAAUUUUCUAAGAACAAAAUCUCAGUGAGCUCACCAACAGUAAACCCGCCAGCUUCCAUACAGCAGCUUCCUUGGCUCAGGCUCUGAAAUAACUGUAGUAUUUUAGAGUUCCAGCCUUUGUCAGAACGCAAGGACAAGACUUGAAUAAAAUCAUGUUUUCUGUGGAUCUAAACUGAAAUCACAGCUUAUUGAACAGAACAUUUCGAUUUUCAGAGUUGGGAAACUGACACUCAGAGAGAAUGCUGUGCUCAAGAGAGACAUGCUCCCUCUGUGGCUAUUGCCAGGUUCUCCUGGCAAUUAUUAUUCAGGCUUCUCCCAGCCUGAGAUUCCUGGAAGACACUCCAAUUCCAUGAGGUGCCUUGUUUCAACAGUCUGACAGUGAAAGGUAGGGGCACAACCUUGUCUAUAGACGAUCAUUGCCA
RNAcentral lists this long non-coding RNA (842 nucleotides) under Cricetulus griseus (Chinese hamster). RNAcentral's name for it is "lncRNA (ENSCGRG00015034227.1)". The record is from RNAcentral. Lineage: Eukaryota; Metazoa; Chordata; Mammalia; Rodentia; Cricetidae.